UGAAGUGUAUCCAUCCAGGUCGGGAGAUUUAUCAUCUCCAAUCCUAAAAAGAGCUGUGAAACUGCGAAUUGCUCAUUAAAUUAGUUAUAGUUUAUUUGAUGGUACCUGCUACUCGGAUAAUCAUAGUAAUUCUAGAGCUAAUACGUGCAACAAAUCCCUACUUCUGGAAGGGACCCAUUUAUUAGAUAAAAGGUCGAUGCAGACAUCUCCUAUUGCUGUGAUGAUUCAUGAUAAUUUGAUGGAUCGCACGGCCCUCAUGUCGGUGAUGCAUCAUUCAAAUUUCUUCCCUAUCAACUUUCGAUGGUAGGAUAGUGGCCUACUAUGGUGGUGAUGGGUGACGGAGAAUUAGGGUUCGAUUCUGGAAAGGGAGACUGAGAAAUGGCUACCACAUCCAAGGAAAGCAACAGGCGCACAAAUUACCCAAUCAUGAUAUAGGGAGGUAGUGACA
This 448-nucleotide ribosomal RNA is filed under the name Olea europaea subsp. europaea. It matches the Rfam family "Eukaryotic small subunit ribosomal RNA", at positions 59 to 472 of the family's 1831-position model. Lineage: Eukaryota; Viridiplantae; Streptophyta; Magnoliopsida; Lamiales; Oleaceae. The record is from RNAcentral.